Mercenaria mercenaria is the source of this 1573-nucleotide long non-coding RNA. RefSeq lists it as uncharacterized. The transcript has 4 exons. The record is from RefSeq and is a predicted model, not a curated record. Lineage: Eukaryota; Metazoa; Mollusca; Bivalvia; Venerida; Veneridae.
GUUCACCCUGUUGCCGCCAUAACGAGUUUGUUGUUGUUAAGAAAAAGAAAAAGAGAAAAUAAAAUGUAGAGGAUCUACAAAGGUUUGGCUGGAGAUGAUUCGAAAACGCCAGGUCUCUUAGCAGAGAUGUUCACUGGGAGACAGUUCCAUUGUUUUGUUCUGGUUGUGGCAGAGAAGUUGGUGAUCCGGUAGAUAGUUUCUUGUUGUGUAGAGGCGAUGGCAGUGAUGUAGCCGAAAAGAUUCAUCUAUUACUAAAUUUAGAUAGAAAAGAUAGUUCUGGUUGUUUGGUCCAUGCUUGAGUAGAGAUCAGAUCUGAUGUAGAUGAUGUGUAUGAAAUUGUAUUUGUCAAGAGACCUUGCAGAAUGAGAUGCGGCAGAAUAUCUUGUUGGGGAAACAGUAAAGCAAGGUAAAAACAAAGAUGUGUGUGUCAGUUGAUGAUGAUACAGCUCCCUGUGUACAGGCAAAUUGCGUUCAGAAAACCUGGCCUACUGGGCUUAGACAGCUGGAAGCAGAUAUACCGUGUGACAAAUAUUACAUUUUAUGGAGGUAUAAUUGUGAAGCAGGGACGAAAUGUCAAGAAAUGUCCUGUAUGGACAAAAAUGACAACAGGGAGUCAAAAUAAGUAUGCAGCAAUUUAGAAAAUCUUAAAAUGGUAUAGAGCUUAAGCAGACAGGGUUUUAGCCAAGAGCUUAAUAGUUAGAUUUUUAACAGAGUUGAGGCAAACAAAGUUUUAGCAAAGAUAAGACUAAGAGCUGAGGCACACAGAGACUCAGCAAAGAGUUAAUGCAGAUAAAGUUUCAGCAAAGAACUGAGACAGACAGGGUUUCAGCAAAGAGCUGAGGCACACAGUUUCAGCAAAGAGCUGAGGCACACAGAGUUUCAGCAAACAGCUGAGGCACACAGAGUUUCAGCAAAGAGUUGAAGCAGAUAGAGUAUCAGCAAAGAGCUGAGGCAUACAGAGUUUCAGCAAAGAGCUGAGGCACACAGAGUACGUGUUGGCAAAGAGGCAUACAGGCAAGGAACUGUGUUUCAGCAAAGACCAAAGAAAAAGAGGUGAGGCAUGCAACGUCAUUCACUUAAAGGUAAGUUAGCUCAUAAGAUUUAGAUGUGACAUAAAAAGUAAUAAAUUAAAAAAAAAAAACAUUUGUAAGUAUUGCAGUUAUUGAAAAGCCAGGUUUUCUCAAUCAUAAAUGUUAAUUUUACAGUUAAUAACAAAAUAACCUUACCUGUUAAAGGUCCAAUACUAAGGAAAGUGAACAUUUUAAUUUCUUUUAAAAAGCACAGAAACUAUUUCAUUUUAUUGGAAAAUGAAAGUUGGUAUGUAGAAAUUCGAAAUAAAUCGCAGUAUAUGUACAAUUAUUUUUCUAUGAAGUAUGAAGAAAGUUAAAAAAGACCUGGGGGGUCAUUCUGUCGAUUCAUUGAAAUUUCAACAUAAUACACAUACAUUUCUUUGAGUUCCAAAGACCUUCUGUAAAUUUUGACCUGCCAAUCUUCAUUAUUUAGUGUCUUGCAGAAGUCUAUGCACUGGCUAUGAAAAAAAUUGCCAACUCACUUUCCCUUAGUAAUGGACCUU